Monodelphis domestica (gray short-tailed opossum) is the source of this 1018-nucleotide non-coding RNA. NCBI's taxonomy places the organism in Eukaryota, Metazoa, Chordata, Mammalia, Didelphimorphia, Didelphidae. The record is from RefSeq and is a predicted model, not a curated record.
CAGGAGCACACUGGGGGAUGCAGUUCCUCAGGCCACAACAGUAGAAAACCCAUACUAUCUCUAUCUCUAUAUCCAUGUAGACUGAGAGACGGACAACUUGAUAGACAGACAGGAGGAUUGACAGACAGAGAGCUUCGUUUAUUUGUUAUUCUGUCUUACUACCUUCCUGUCUGUGUAUCUGUCAGUCUGUCUAUCUGUCUGCCCAUCAGUCCUCUCUGGAUAUCUAUCUCUACAUAGGUGUCCACUCUAGAAAAUCAGGAUAAGUGGUUGCAGACAAGCAAAGCAUGUGAUGGUGCCCCAGUUGGGUUCAGAUGGCUCAGAAGAUGUAUUUGGUUCAAGAUUGGAUGGGGAGUGGCAGACCUCCACUUUGGCCAGUGAGGUGAGUGGCUGUGGCAGACUGCAUGAUGCGUCCAAACCCUUCUGAUCAGACUCUUGCAUGAGGUGAUGGAAGUCUUGCAUAGGAAAGCAAGGAAUCAAGAUCUCAGAGGCUAAGCUCUGCGCCUUACUUUAUAGGGAUCUUAACCUGUUGUCCUGACGUUUCCCAACAAGGAGCAUUUACUAAACAAGAAUGGCAUUUCCUCGGGCAGGCUAUGAAACAAAGUGAGGCAAAAGGACACAGAAUGUUAGCCACCAUUGAGAUCCCAUGCACUCUAGUGAGGAUACUGCACAAACUGUGGAGAGUUGAGCUGUUCCUCAGCUGCAGUCCCCACCUUUCACUGGUUCUACUCACUCUUCUUUCCCCUUUUAAUGAGAUGCCAAAGAGAAACACCCCUUCCUUAAUGCUGCAGAUGCCAAGAACCAGCCCCAUGGCCUGGGACAAACCUCCUGCCCAACCCCCUUGUUUCUGGGUCCUGUCCUCACUGCUGUCAAAAGAUAGCUAAACCGCAGCAUGGAGGCAUGAUGUCUGGCUGUCCUCCCAAGGAGCAGCUUUUGCACCCAUGCUCUUCCACCUCGGCUGCCUCCUGACCACAUUCAACAUGACUUUCCAAAUCAAUAAAAUGUCUCUUUUUCUUUUGAA